Molecule: small RNA, 552 nt
Filed under: Arabidopsis thaliana (thale cress)
Lineage: Eukaryota; Viridiplantae; Streptophyta; Magnoliopsida; Brassicales; Brassicaceae
Description: ATSL150000
Source: RNAcentral
UUUUUUUAUAUAUAUUGACAUAGAUUUACACCAUUUACUUAAAAUCAUAUAUUGUUUUCAUAAUUUUAAUUUAAAUUUACCGCCUCAAAAACAAAAGAAGUAGUUAGAGUACUAUACACUAGAGUAUGACUUUUGACCUUCUCAUUCUAAAUGCCUACAAUUAAUUAUGUAUUGUAAAGUUAAAAUGCAUUAAUGAUUUAGAAAAUAAAAAUACUAGAAUAUCAAUCUUUUGAUACAAUACUAAAAUUCUAGAAAAUCAAUCUUUGAAUUUGGGAGGGGUAUAAAACUAAAUUCAGUGAUAACUACGUACACUAAUUCAUAGUCCAAUUUGAUGCGAUCUGGAAAAAAUAAAAGACUAUACCUAGAUCAAUAAUAACUCAAUCCUUCCAUCCAAUGAUAAUUACAGUUGGGACUGGUAGAAUAAAAAAUUUCAACCUAUGAAAUAAGGGAUUUGAGCCUUAACAUACAUCCAAAUAGUAACAUAUGAUAAAUUUCUUAUCAUUGUUUGAUUGAAUGAUCAAAACUAUUAUGUAGAUCUAUAAAUGUGUGUUU